AGCCAGUGUUGUAUAGUGGUUUGAGCAUUGGACUAUGACUCUGGAGACCAGGGUUCAAAUCCCGCUUGGCUA
RNAcentral lists this transfer RNA (72 nucleotides) under Phrynosoma platyrhinos (Desert horned lizard). Its description in RNAcentral is "tRNA-OTHER". The record is from RNAcentral. Lineage: Eukaryota; Metazoa; Chordata; Lepidosauria; Squamata; Phrynosomatidae.